Marmota flaviventris (yellow-bellied marmot) is the source of this 2367-nucleotide non-coding RNA. The record is from RefSeq and is a predicted model, not a curated record. Lineage: Eukaryota; Metazoa; Chordata; Mammalia; Rodentia; Sciuridae.
GGAUAGAACCACCAUAUGACCCAGCUAUCCCACUCCUGAGUAUUUUCCCAAAAGAUCUGAAAUCAACAUAAUAUAGCAAAACAACCACCUCAAGUUUAUAGCAGCAUAAUUCAUAAUACCUAAAUUAUGGAAUUGACCUUGGUGCCCAUCAAUAGAUGAAUGGAGAAAGAAAUUGUGGUAUAUAUACACAAUGGAGUUCUACUCAGCCAUAAAAAAUAAUGAAAUUACGGCAUGCUGAUAAAUAGAUGGAAAUAGAGAAUAUCACACUAGCUGAAAUAAGUCAAGCUCAGAAACUCAAAGGUCGAAUGUUUUCUCUCAUGUGGAAGCUGGAGUAAAAUGAAGGAAAGGGGGAGAGGAGGAUAGGAUAACAUAAAGGGAGGCUCAGUAAGGUAGAAGAAGGAGCUUGAGAGGCAGAGUGGGAUGGUAGGGGGAGGCAACGCAGAAUGACUUCUUAAACAAUCAUGUUAUGUGAAUAUGCCACAUAUAUUCACCUUUAUACAUAAAUAUAUGUGUAUAUAUUCACCUUUAUACAAACAUAAAUAUACAUCAAAUAUAAAUAGACAAGUGAGGUGAAGUCUAGAGUAGAGGAGGGAGGAUGGGAGGGAAAGGGGGGCUCAUGAACUGAAAUAGAAUUUCCUGCGUGUAUGAGUUUGUCGGGAUGAACCCACCUACUAUGUAUAACUAUAAAGCUCUAAUAAAAAAGAAUAAAUUGUGGUUAUACAUCUUAAAAUAUGUUCCCAGUCAAAAGAGUAAAAUAUAAGGCAAUUCAAUAACUAAUUAUUUUAGUUAUUUUUUGAAACACAAUUGUUGAGAUUUUAACACACUUCCUUUCCCCUUCAUAGGGGCUUAUUUCUGUUGCUUUGACAAAAGUUUCUGAAAACGAAGCCUUCAUUCCAAUCAACAAAAAUCUCUGGUCGAUUUCAUAUGUCACCACACUGAGCUCUUUUGCCUUCUUCAUCCUGCUGGUCCUAUACCCAGUUGUUGAUGUGAGAGGACUGUGGACAGGAGCCCCCUUCUUUUAUCCAGGAAUGAAUUCUAUUCUGGUAUAUGUUGGCCACGAGGUAUUUGAGGACUACUUCCCCUUUCAGUGGAAGCUGAAAGAUAAUCAGUCACACAAAGAACAUCUAACUCAGAACAUAAUCGCCACUGCUCUCUGGGUGCUCAUUGCCUACAUUCUCUAUAAAAAGAAGAUUUUUUGGAAAAUCUGAUAGCUCCCACUCAAGUGUUGUUGGAAGACUCUAGUGGGCCUAGGUAAAGUAUUGAAAGAACCUAUAUUGAGGGGAAUCAUCACUUAUAAAAACAGUGGGAUGUAUUUCCAGAUUUGGGGAGAAGGUGCUCAAGUUGGUUUACUCUGACAUGAGUCAUCAGAACUCUGUAUAUUUGUGACAUAUAUUUGAAAUGGUAUGGUCUAUCUUUUCUCCAUCUUCUACAUAAAUGAAUGCAUUUGGAACUUCAUUGUAAGGAAAUCUCACUUAACUUUCCAAAAGGGAUUUACUAUGGGCAUUUUGCGUCUGUGAUGCAUAAAACAGUCUAAGGUUUGAGGACUGGGGAUGUGGUUCAGUGGUGCUUGUCUAGCAUUUGUUAGGUGAGGUCCUGGGUUUGAUCCCCAUCACUGCAAAACAAACAAACAAAAGUAACAAUCUAAGGUUUGAUUCCUACUGACUUUUUUUUCCCCCUGGAAAUUGCUUCUGCAUGUGUACAUGCAUGCCAACAACAACAAAAAUCAUGAUUUCCUACAUGAUAGAGUAUAAACUUUAUUGAAUGGAUGUGUCAUAAUGUUUUCUCAAUUUUUUGAUUUGGUUCAAUUUAAUGUUUUAGGAAAGCCAAAGUAAGUUUUUUUUUUUCUUUUCAGAUUAUCAAGGCUUUGAUGAGUCAAAAAAUACCUAUCAGAAGCCAUUUUCUCUUUUUCCCCCAUUUAAAAAAUAAAAUUAAAAUAUAGAUGUAUUAUUCCCAACCAUCUUGAUUAUCUACCUGUUUACUUUCCUAUUUACCUAUGUACUUAGCAUCUAUCCUUCUAUCUCCCUACCUACAUGAGUAUCUUUUUUUUUACUGGUUGCUCAAAACAUUACAAUGCUCUUGACAUAUCAUAUUUCAUACAUUUGAUUCAAGUGGGUUAUGAACUCCCAUUUUUACCACGUGUACCUAAGUACCAGGAAUGUACCUGUAGAAGAAAGAAACGCACACUGACUUCACUGUGAGUCCAACUGUCCAUGCCUGCUGUAUAAGAUACUGGGCAAGUCCCUUGGGCUAUUAGGACUUUGUGAUGAGGUAGGGUACAUCAGUAGCUUUUCUGAAAUCUUCAGAACAACAAUUUUGUUACAGAAAAUGCCUCAAAAGAAAUAAGAAUAAAAAUAUUUUUAAAAACUA